UUUGUGGCUGCCCACUCCUGGUUAAAUUGCCUUUCUCCAUCCCUGUCUCUCCCUCAUAGCUUUCCACCUUCCCAUUUCACCGUGAGUCUGGGUCAACGCCGGCUGAAUCUGCAGACUGCAGACGUUUUAUCUCUUGUUGAGAAUCUGAUCCUGAUCCCCAGGAGCCUUGUGGAUAGUGAGCCUGGAAGCCUGGUUCUGGUGAAGUUGGUGCAGCCUCCUUCCCUCAACAGCUCUAUCUACCCCAUACCUCUGGUCCAGGGCUCCAGUUUUUCCCCUUGGAUGAAGACCUGCUGGGCUCAGGGCUUUAAAUCAGAUUUUGAUCCCUAUAUCCCACCUGAUAAGCUGUGGCGUGUUAAACUGCCUCUCAUGUCUCGAACCAACUGUCAAGCCAUAUUCCAGCUCCAAUCUGACUGUCCCAGUCCAGAGAUAACCAUGCCAAAUGGGACUCUGUGCACUGGCCCUCCUGUCACUUCCCCAGAGAUCACGGUGGCAGAUGGCAGCCCUCUCCUUUGCUUCUACGCUGGUCAAUGGGUACUGCUAGGAGUGAUGACCUGGAGACCUUGCUCUUCUAAUGGCCUUCCUGAAGUUUAUGUCCCAAUUUAUCCCAUCAACACUUGGAUCCAGACCAAUUUUCUUAAUGUCAGUGUUAUCAAGGGUCCCUCGAAAGCCCCCCUUCCAAGUAUUCUCUCUACCCCAAUUCCUUAAUUCCUUUUGUGUCUAUACUGCACAAUCAAGGUUGCAAGUAUUUCUUCUUUCCCUUCACUUUCCCCUGCCUCAGAAUAUAAAAGAAAACCUUUGCAUCGCUGCAUCUGUAUUUAUUCAAGCAAAUAAAAACAAGU
RNAcentral lists this long non-coding RNA (839 nucleotides) under Monodelphis domestica (gray short-tailed opossum). Its description in RNAcentral is "lncRNA (ENSMODG00000048425.1)". The record is from RNAcentral. Lineage: Eukaryota; Metazoa; Chordata; Mammalia; Didelphimorphia; Didelphidae.